This 1514-nucleotide unclassified non-coding RNA is filed under the name Leishmania donovani. RNAcentral describes it as "gene:LdHU3.30.0330(CDS-product:ribosomal_RNA_aden ine_dimethylase_family_protein_putative)". Lineage: Eukaryota; Euglenozoa; Kinetoplastea; Trypanosomatida; Trypanosomatidae. The record is from RNAcentral.
CUGCAGUGCAGCCGUGAUCACUUGCGUCGCCGUUGCUGUCUCUAUUUUAUUCGUUGCUCUCUCUCUCUCUCCCUCCACUCCUCUUCGCUAGCAACGCAGCGAUGCCGAAGGAGCCGCGGGCGGUGCCAAUGGGCAUCAUCAGUGCCGAGCCCAUCCACGCUGCAUCCCGCAAGAUCAAGUUCGGCACGAAGACCAUCACGUUAGGCAAGUCAACCCCACAAGGACACAGACGCGGCACAGCAGCUGAGGGUCUCAAGGAGAAGAGGGCAAGCUCUGGUGUCAAGACUGGCGGCAGCCAGUCCGGUAUCGUCUUCAACAAAGGCUUCGGCCAGCACAUUCUCAAGAACCCGCUUGUCAUCGCCGCCAUCGUCGAAAAGGCCGCCAUCAAGCCCACCGACAUCGUCAUCGAGAUCGGCCCCGGCACGGGCAACUUGACAGAGAAACUGCUGCAGACGGCGAAGAAGGUGAUCGCCUUCGAGAUUGACCCGCGCAUGGUGGCGGAGUUGAACAAGCGCUUCCAGAACACGCCGUUGGCCUCGAAGCUGCAGAUUAUCCGCGGCAACUGCCUUGAGCAGGACUUCCCAUACUUCGACAAGUGUGUGGCCAACGUGCCGUAUGCAAUUUCGUCGGCGCUGGUGUUCAAGCUGCUCAAGACACCCACAUUCAAAUGUGCCGUACUCAUGUUUCAGCGUGAGUUCGCCCUGCGCGUCUGCGCACAGCCCGGAUCGGAGGCCUACUGUCGACUCUCUGUGAACUCGCAGCUGCUCGCCCGCUGCAGCCACCUCAUGAAGAUCAGCAAGAACAGCUUCAACCCUCCGCCGAAGGUCGAGUCGAGCGUCAUUCGGCUCGACCCCAAGCACCCACAACCUGAUGUGGAUUUCGAGGAGUGGGACGGGCUCGUGAAGAUGCUCUUCAGCCGCAAGAACAAGAAGUCCUCGUCGAUAUUUCGUACCAAGGCGGCUGUGCAGGCUCUGUACGACAAGUACGUGAGCUAUCGAAAGAUGGAGGGCGGUCAGCCCGUCGGAACCGCCACGUCCGGCGCAAAGCCCUUGACGUCCAGUAGCAGUGCGGAUGUGGGCUCUUCCGUGUCGCUCGAGCAGUUCCGCGUGUUGCUGGACUCGGUGAUUGCGGACCCCAUGUUCGAAAAGCGCAGUCGCAUGCUUGACGAGGAGGCAUUGAUGACUAUGCUUGCCCACUUCAUCAAGCACGGCAUUCACUUCAUCUAAGCGCCUGCGUGCCUGUGGGUGUAUGUGUGUUUGAUGUCUGUGCCGCUGUGGAGCUGCAUUCGCACUCACCAACUUCUGUAUCCCCCCUACACACACGCAUGCAUGCAUGCAUGCGUCGCACCUCUACGCUGCCGUAACAGGCCCCUGCGGAAGGGGCGGGGAGAGAGCGAGGGAGAGAGGUGCACGCUGAACAGAUUUGAUGUGAGUGAAGGACACACAUCCUCACAGAGAGAAGGAUGGAUGGUGCAACCAUCAUCCGUAAUCCGACCUCAUCGUGUCGAGCGAUAU